Long non-coding RNA from Harpia harpyja (harpy eagle), 1515 nucleotides. RefSeq lists it as uncharacterized. The record is from RefSeq and is a predicted model, not a curated record. The transcript has 3 exons. Lineage: Eukaryota; Metazoa; Chordata; Aves; Accipitriformes; Accipitridae.
CCUUCCCUUCCCCACCCCCCCCGGCGCCUGAGGUGGGGGCGAUGCGGGGAACAUGGCUGGCGUCUUGGGAGGGCGGCAGCUGAGUGGGAGGGAGUUGUGUCGACCGGAGUUAACACAUCCUCUCCGCGGUAGCGACUGAGCCCCCGUCGCGCGUGUGGAGCCGCGGGAGCGGGCUGCCCGGGCAGCCCCUUCCACGGGAGCUCUCCGCCGGCCAGAGCCUUGCUGGGGCGGCCGUCGGGGUCCCGCGUUGCGGGGCUCGGCUCUCCGGGGUGAGCCUAGGUGUGCCUUGCGCCGGUCGGGAGCGUCCGGCCUGGCCGUCCCGUGUGAGCGGUGCUGCAGGCCCGGCGGGCGGCUGGGGCUGCUGGAGUGGGAGCGCCCACGCGCCUCUGCCAGAGGCUCGAGUGGGAAAUCUGCCUCCAGCGUGUCGGGUGCUCGCUGCCCGCUCCUUGUAAGGCGGCUUGGCCUGCCCUCUCACGCUCAGCUGUUGCUCAGAAGACUCGCAUCAGUGAGCGAAGAACGCGGCGCCUGCUGUGAAUGCAGCGUAAGCAAAGGGAGUUUCUCGUCCGGCAGGGUUUGUGUCACAGGGUCUGGUCCAGGUCUGCCUUGCCAGGCAGGGAAGCCCAAAGGCCUAGAGCUCCGUUCAUUCUCUUUUUGCCUCUUUCAUCCCUUCUCAGGUAUGUCUUGCUGCUCUGGCAUCCUGAAACCGCAGCUGAUGUUCAGGUGCAUGUAGGAAAAGGAAGUUACUUCCCGUAGCUGAUAUUUUUGGAAGGGACCAUUCAAAGGCAAAAAGGAAUAUUGAAUGACAUCAUAUUCAUUAAAAUGGAGACAGAACAGGACUUUUUCACCCAGAUCCUUAGCUGCCAAAACAGUUCCCAAAAAUGUUACCACCCACCACUGUCUUCACUGGAGGAGAUACAAAGCAAAUCCCACUGAAGGAAGAUUAUUUUGAAGAUGAUGUCUUCACUGAAGAAUAAUUACUUUAAAAUGUAGUAAGUGGAUCCCAAAUCCACAGUUUACUUUUGCUCCUUCCUAGUCAGCACUACCUGUGACUGUCACUCUUCUCCACUGCCACUAGUUAAUGCAGCUUGCAGCAAUAUGAGCGAGCACGACACAGUUUAUGGCUGAUUCAAGCUCACUGAGGCAGCAGUUAUCAGGUUGUAUUGCUCCCUGUAUACAUGCAAAUGCCUUUUUAACUGGAGGUGCCCACAUUUUUCUAACCCUUUCAUCCUGUCUCUAGGAGACAGAUAAUAAAAUUAAUUAAAGUAGGUUUUAUUGCACAUUUGGGAAAGUGAUGGGCCUUUGUAGCUCUGGAUCAGCAGUCUCUGAUUUCAUAUUUGCAUGAAGCUAAUAAAGAAAACAAGACAAUUGAUAUAAUACCCUCUGCAGACAAGAUUUCUGUAACUGAUGGCAUAACCUUCAUGACCACAAUACUGCAAUACACGAACUUACCACUGGAACUUACCACUGAUACUUACCUCUUUAAUGAUAGUUUUGGGAGACUUAAUGUUAAACUGC